Molecule: long non-coding RNA, 1622 nt
Organism: Macaca fascicularis (crab-eating macaque)
Lineage: Eukaryota; Metazoa; Chordata; Mammalia; Primates; Cercopithecidae
Source: Ensembl
UUAUCUUGUAUGGUGGUAUCGCAUUGUGAUUUUAAUUUGUAUUUUUUUAUUAUGAAGAUGUAGUUUACUGUUUUUAACAUAAUUAGGUAUCUAAUUUUACCAGAUUACUUUUCUGCUUCUAUUGAGAUGAUUAUAUAAAUUUUCACUUAUGUGUUUAUUAAUGUAGUGUAUUACACUGAUAGAUUUACAAGUGUAAAAAUGUACCCUUGAUUUUCUGAAGUAAAUGGCUUAGUCUUGGAGUAUUGCUUUUUUAAUCACUGAAUUCUAUUGUCUAGUAUUUUACUUAGGAUUUUGAACUAGAUUGAUGAAAGAUAUUGGCCAGUAGAUUUCUUUUCUUUUCCCAUUCUUGUAGGGAUUUGGCAUCAUGGUAAUGUAAUCUCCAUACAAAUAGGUAGAAAGUGUAUCAUCCUUAUUAUCUGGUAGAUUUUGUAUAAUAUUGGUGUUUGGAAGAAUUCACAGGUUAAUCUAUUAUAGUUUGAAAUGUUCAUUAUGGGAAAAUUUCUUAAAUUGAAUUCAUUUCUUCAUGGGAUUUCAAAUAAUUCAGAUUUUUAAUUUAUUAUUAAGUCCGUUUGGUAAGUUGAAUUUUCAGAGAAUGUUUUCAUUUCAUUCAAAUUUUCAAAUUUAUUGGUUUAAAAUGUUUCAUAUUCAAUUGUUAUAGUUUUAACAUUUAAAUGAUUUAUACUUAUGUCUAAUAUUCCUAACAUAGGUAAUUUGUGUUUGCUUCUUAAAAGAUUAGUCUUCCUAAGAGUUUUUUUCAGUUUUAUUAAAAUUAAAUAAGAACAAAUUUCUGAUAAUUUCCAAAUAUCCUUAAGCUGGUAAGCCACUUCAGCAAAGUCUCAGGAUACAAAAUCAAUGUGGAAAAAUCACAAGCAUUCCUAUACACCAAUAAUAGACAGAGAUCCAAAUCAUCAGUGAACUCACAUUCACAAUUGCUACAAAGAGAAUAAAAUACCUAGGAAUACAACCUGUGAGGGAUGUGAAGCAGCUCUUCAAGAAGAACUACAAACCACUGCUCAAGGAAAUAAGGAAGGAUACAAAGAAAUGGAAAAACAUUCCAUGCUCAUGGAUAGGAAGAAUCAGUGUCGUAAGAAUGGCCAUACUGCCCAAAGUAAUUUAAAGAUUCAAUGCUAUUCCCAUCAAACUACCAUUGACUUUCUUCACAUAAUUAGAAAAAAACUAAAUUUCAUAUGGAAUCAAAAAAGAACCUGUAUAGCCAAGACAAUCCUAAGCAAAGAAAAAAGCUGGAGGCAUCACGCUACCUGACUUCAAACUAUACUACAAGGCUACAGUAACCAAAACAACAUGGUACAGGUACCAAAACAGAUAUAUAGACCAAUGGAACAGAACAUCGGCCUCAGAAAUAACACCACACAUCUACAACAAUUUGGACAAAACUGGACAAAAACAAGUAAUGGGCAAAGGAUUCCCUAUUCAAUAAACGGUGUUGGGAAAACUGGCUUGCCAUACGCAGAAAACUGAAACUGAAUGCCUUCCUUACACCCUAUACAAAAUUUUUCUCAAGAUAGAUUAAAGAAUUAAAUGUAAGACCUAAAACCAUACAAAUCCUAUAAGAAAACCUAGGCAAUACCAUCCAGGACAGAGGCAUGGGCAAAGACUUCAUG